Molecule: long non-coding RNA, 369 nt
Organism: Coffea arabica (coffee)
Lineage: Eukaryota; Viridiplantae; Streptophyta; Magnoliopsida; Gentianales; Rubiaceae
Source: RefSeq, a predicted model, not a curated record
AGCAAAGCUUCCUUGGCCAACUUUAAAACACAAACAUCUCCAAUUCUGCCGGAUUACAUUUCAGUCUCCAUUCACACCCCAUUUCCCUUCAUCCGCGACUUGUUUCCCAUUUCAGCAACUCCAACAUUCCACAACACCAUACCAUUUCACUUCAUCUCCUGCCUUGGUAUCAUCGAAGAGAGGAAAUCAGAGAGAGAGAGUUGCGGACGGCAAUUUCUGGACAGCCGAGAGGAGGGAAACAUUUUUGCAGCUAGCCGAGGGUGUUGAGCCAAACUGAGGGUAUAGCGAGGACGUGGAAUUUUGAAUCCCAGAUUGAACUCUGAACUUCACUUUUGGGUUCUGGAAACUGAAAGAUGGAUGCCUAUUUAU